Molecule: ribosomal RNA, 454 nt
Filed under: uncultured Leptolinea sp.
Lineage: Bacteria; Bacillati; Chloroflexota; Anaerolineae; Anaerolineales; Anaerolineaceae
Description: bacterial SSU rRNA
Rfam family: Bacterial small subunit ribosomal RNA
Source: RNAcentral
AGGGCCCCGCACAAGCAGCGGAGCGUGUGGUUUAAUUCGAUGCUACACGAAGAACCUUACCAGGGUUUGACAUGCAAGUGGUAGGAAGCCGAAAGGUGACCGACCCUUCGGGGAGCUUGCACAGGUGCUGCAUGGCUGUCGUCAGCUCGUGUCGUGAGAUGUUCGGUUAAGUCCGCUAACGAGCGCAACCCUCGCUGUGUGUUAUAUGUGUCACACGGGACUGCCGGUCUUAAGCCGGAGGAAGGUGGGGAUGAUGUCAAGUCAGCAUGGCCUUUAUAUCCUGGGCUACACACACGCUACAAUGGCCAACACAAUAGGCUGCUAAGCCGCGAGGUGGCGCCAAUCCAUAAAGUUGGUCUCAGUUCAGAUUGUAGGCUGCAACCCGCCUGCAUGAAGAUGGAGUUGCUAGUAACCGCAGGUCAGCUAUACUGCGGUGAAUACGUUCCCGGGGCUU